UGUCAUAAAAAUAUUAGUGCUACAAAAUAGAAUUAAAAUAAUUGAUGCCAAGAAACUGACCUAAUCCAAAGUGCUGAUUGACGGUAUAUAUAAUUUUAGUCUUUACCACGUCGAUCAAUAUUUACCUGCAUGUAGUUGUACAAAAAAAAAUGUUUAAAAUAAGAAAUAAAUAAAUGAUUUAAAUUUGACAACGCCGUGGCUAAAAAGGAAAAAAGACAGACAGACAAACAUUAGUACACUAAAUAUAACAUAAACACUAAAGAUAA
Molecule: long non-coding RNA, 266 nt
Filed under: Mytilus galloprovincialis (Mediterranean mussel)
Lineage: Eukaryota; Metazoa; Mollusca; Bivalvia; Mytilida; Mytilidae
Source: RNAcentral